GCUUAUACUCGACCGUCGGCGGCACGUGCGAUCGCGCGCGUUUCGGCGCGCGCGAUCACGAAGCCCCGACGAGUAGGAGGGUCGCGGCGGUGAGCGCAGAAGGGCUGGUCGCGAGGCCGUCUGGAGCCGCCGUCGGUGCAGAUCUUGGUGGUAGUAGCAAAUACUCCAGCGAGGCCCUGGAGGACUGACGUGGAGAAGGGUUUCGUGUGAACAGCCGUUGCACACGAGUCAGUCGAUCCUAAGCCCUAGGCGAAAGCCGAUGUCGAUGCGGUGUGGAUUUAUAUCGUUUUUACGUAGGAGUAGCGAGAGCGAGACAAACGUUAAUUCGUUCGUAACUCUAACGUGUAUCGAGCCUAUCGAACACACCCAUCGGGCGAAAGGGAAUCCGGUUCCUAUUCCGGAACCUGGCAGCGGAACCGUCAAAAAGUCGGGC
Molecule: ribosomal RNA, 433 nt
Filed under: Acalles fallax
Lineage: Eukaryota; Metazoa; Arthropoda; Insecta; Coleoptera; Curculionidae
Description: eukaryotic LSU rRNA
Rfam family: Eukaryotic large subunit ribosomal RNA
Source: RNAcentral